GGCGCUAUAGCCAAGUGGUUACGGCGACAGAUUAGAAUUGAGUCAGUUUCGAGCUGAGUUGAGGUCAUCUGUUCCUCUUUGAGGGCAGGAGUUCGAAUCUCCUUGGCGUCG
This is a non-coding RNA of Fomitopsis betulina (razor strop fungus), 111 nucleotides long. The record is from the annotation of a GenBank genome assembly. Lineage: Eukaryota; Fungi; Basidiomycota; Agaricomycetes; Polyporales; Fomitopsidaceae.